ACGGAGGAAGGUGGGGAGAGUCAAAUCAUCAUGCCCCUUAUGACUGGGCUACACACGUGUUACAAUGGACAGAACAAAGGGCAGCGAAACCGCGAGGUUAAGCCAAUCCCACAAAUCUGUUCUCAGUUCGGAUCGCACUCUGCAACUCGACUGCGUGAAGCUGGAAUCGCUAGUAAUCGCGGAUCAGCAUGCCGCGGUGAAUACGUUCCCGGGCCUUGUACACACCGCCCGUCACACCACGAGAGUUUGUAACACCCGAAGUCGGUGAGGUAACCUUUUAGGAGCCAGCCGCCGAAGGUGGGACAGAUGUUGGGGUG
This 317-nucleotide ribosomal RNA is filed under the name Bacillus tequilensis. RNAcentral's name for it is "bacterial SSU rRNA". It matches the Rfam family "Bacterial small subunit ribosomal RNA", at positions 1163 to 1482 of the family's 1533-position model. Lineage: Bacteria; Bacillati; Bacillota; Bacilli; Caryophanales; Bacillaceae. The record is from RNAcentral.